UACGUAGGGUGCGAGCGUUGUCCGGAAUUAUUGGGCGUAAAGAGCUCGUAGGCGGCUUGUCGCGUCGGAUGUGAAAGCCCGGGGCUUAACUCCGGGUCUGCAUUCGAUACGGGCAGGCUAGAGUUCGGUAGGGGAGAUCGGAAUUCCCGGUGUAGCGGUGAAAUGCGCAGAUAUCAGGAGGAACACCGGUGGCGAAGGCGGAUCUCUGGGCCGAUACUGACGCUGAGGAGCGAAAGCGUGGGGAGCGAACAGG
RNAcentral lists this ribosomal RNA (253 nucleotides) under uncultured bacterium. RNAcentral describes it as "partial 16S ribosomal RNA". It matches the Rfam family "Bacterial small subunit ribosomal RNA", at positions 524 to 776 of the family's 1533-position model. The record is from RNAcentral.